This 30-nucleotide non-coding RNA is filed under the name Cricetulus griseus (Chinese hamster). Lineage: Eukaryota; Metazoa; Chordata; Mammalia; Rodentia; Cricetidae. The record is from RNAcentral.
CGACCAUGUUGAUCUCACUCUUCCAAGCCA